GAAUUCCUGCUGUGUACGUAGAAUGAGUUGAUGUUGACCGAACAUUUUAUAGAAGGGAAUUUAACUCUUCUUGUGGAAUGAAACCUGAUUUAUUUCGGGCACAAGAAGCAAGAAGGAGAUGCCCACCUGCUGGGAGCGGGUUCAAAGUAACUCACGAUACGGCAUGGUGGGAUUUUA
Molecule: non-coding RNA, 177 nt
Filed under: Clostridium sp. HV4-5-A1G
Lineage: Bacteria; Bacillati; Bacillota; Clostridia; Eubacteriales; Clostridiaceae
Also listed under: 3 other names
Description: 6S RNA
Rfam family: 6S / SsrS RNA
About the family: E. coli 6S RNA was the first non coding RNA to be sequenced, but its function was unknown until recently.
Source: RNAcentral